AGGAUGAACGCUGGCGGCGUGCCUAACACAUGCAAGUCGAACGAAGCUUACGGGUUAGCUUGCUAACUUGUAGGACUGAGUGGCGGACGGGUGAGUAACACGUGGGUAACCUACCUGGAAGACUGGGAUAACAGCUCGAAAGGGCUGCUAAUACCGGAUAAAGUGCCUUUGGAACAAUUUAUGGGCACCAAAGCGUUAAGUAGUGCUUUCAGAUGGGCCCGCGGCCCAUUAGUUAGUUGGUGGGGUAAUGGCCUACCAAGGCGAUGAUGGGUAGCUGGUCUGAGAGGAUGGACAGCCACACUGGGACUGAGAACGGCCCAGACUCCUACGGGAGGCAGCAGUGGGGAAUAUUGCGCAAUGGGGGCAACCCUGACGCAGCGACGUCGUGUGAGUGAAGAAGGCUUUCGGGUUGUAAAGCUCUGUCUACGGGGAAGAUAAUGACGGUACCCGUGGAGGAAGCCCCGGCUAACUACGUGCCAGCAGCCGCGGU
This 490-nucleotide ribosomal RNA is filed under the name uncultured bacterium. RNAcentral describes it as "bacterial SSU rRNA". It matches the Rfam family "Bacterial small subunit ribosomal RNA", at positions 26 to 521 of the family's 1533-position model. The record is from RNAcentral.